This is a transfer RNA of Ovis aries (sheep), 72 nucleotides long. It matches the Rfam family "tRNA". From Rfam's summary of the family: Transfer RNA (tRNA) molecules are approximately 80 nucleotides in length. Their secondary structure includes four short double-helical elements and three loops (D, anti-codon, and T loops). Lineage: Eukaryota; Metazoa; Chordata; Mammalia; Artiodactyla; Bovidae. The record is from Rfam.
UCCCUGGUGGCUCAGAGGUUAAAGUGUCUGCCUCCAAUGCAGGAGACCCGGGUUCGAUCCCUGGGUCGGGAA